GAUGAACGCUGGCGGCGUGCCUAAUACAUGCAAGUCGAACGCACAGCGAAAGGUGCUUGCACCUUUCAAGUGAGUGGCGAACGGGUGAGUAGCACGUGGACAACCUGCCUCAAGGCUGGGGAUAACAUUUGGAAACAGAUGCUAAUACCGAAUAAAACUCAGUGUCGCAUGACACAAAGUUAAAAGGCGCUUUGGCGUCACCUAGAGACGGAUCCGCGGUGCAUUAGUUAGUUGGUGGGGUAAAGGCCUACCAAGACAAUGAUGCAUAGCCGAGUUGAGAGACUGAUCGGCCACAUUGGGACUGAGACACGGCCCAAACUCCUACGGGAGGCUGCAGUAGGGAAUCUUCCACAAUGGGCGAAAGCCUGAUGGAGCAACGCCGCGUGUGUGAUGAAGGCUUUCGGGUCGUAAAGCACUGUUGUAUGGGAAGAACAGCUAGAAUAGGGAAUGAUUUUAGUUUGACGGUACCAUACCAGAAAGGGACGGCUAAAUACGUGCCAGCAGCCGCGGUAA
Molecule: ribosomal RNA, 513 nt
Filed under: uncultured bacterium
Lineage: Bacteria
Description: partial 16S ribosomal RNA
Rfam family: Bacterial small subunit ribosomal RNA
Source: RNAcentral